UGCGAACGGGUCGAGUAAUAUAUCGGAACGUACCCAAGAGUGGGGGAUAACGUAGCGAAAGUUACGCUAAUACCGCAUACGAUCUAAGGAUGAAAGCAGGGGACCGCAAGGCCUUGUGCUCCUGGAGCGGCCGAUAUCUGAUUAGCUAGUUGGUGAGGUAAAGGCUC
This 167-nucleotide ribosomal RNA is filed under the name uncultured bacterium. RNAcentral describes it as "partial 16S ribosomal RNA". It matches the Rfam family "Bacterial small subunit ribosomal RNA", at positions 97 to 266 of the family's 1533-position model. The record is from RNAcentral.